This 806-nucleotide ribosomal RNA is filed under the name Streptomyces sp. MOLA 1488. RNAcentral's name for it is "bacterial SSU rRNA". It matches the Rfam family "Bacterial small subunit ribosomal RNA", at positions 28 to 849 of the family's 1533-position model. Lineage: Bacteria; Bacillati; Actinomycetota; Actinomycetes; Kitasatosporales; Streptomycetaceae. The record is from RNAcentral. RNAcentral also lists the same sequence under 1 other name.
GACGAACGCUGGCGGCGUGCUUAACACAUGCAAGUCGAACGAUGAAGCCUUUCGGGGUGGAUUAGUGGCGAACGGGUGAGUAACACGUGGGCAAUCUGCCCUUCACUCUGGGACAAGCCCUGGAAACGGGGUCUAAUACCGGAUAACACUCUGUCCCGCAUGGGACGGGGUUAAAAGCUCCGGCGGUGAAGGAUGAGCCCGCGGCCUAUCAGCUUGUUGGUGGGGUAAUGGCCUACCAAGGCGACGACGGGUAGCCGGCCUGAGAGGGCGACCGGCCACACUGGGACUGAGACACGGCCCAGACUCCUACGGGAGGCAGCAGUGGGGAAUAUUGCACAAUGGGCGAAAGCCUGAUGCAGCGACGCCGCGUGAGGGAUGACGGCCUUCGGGUUGUAAACCUCUUUCAGCAGGGAAGAAGCGAAAGUGACGGUACCUGCAGAAGAAGCGCCGGCUAACUACGUGCCAGCAGCCGCGGUAAUACGUAGGGCGCAAGCGUUGUCCGGAAUUAUUGGGCGUAAAGAGCUCGUAGGCGGCUUGUCACGUCGGAUGUGAAAGCCCGGGGCUUAACCCCGGGUCUGCAUUCGAUACGGGCUAGCUAGAGUGUGGUAGGGGAGAUCGGAAUUCCUGGUGUAGCGGUGAAAUGCGCAGAUAUCAGGAGGAACACCGGUGGCGAAGGCGGAUCUCUGGGCCAUUACUGACGCUGAGGAGCGAAAGCGUGGGGAGCGAACAGGAUUAGAUACCCUGGUAGUCCACGCCGUAAACGUUGGGAACUAGGUGUUGGCGACAUUCCACGUCGUCGGUGCCGC